This 459-nucleotide ribosomal RNA is filed under the name Lactobacillus sp. RNAcentral describes it as "bacterial SSU rRNA". It matches the Rfam family "Bacterial small subunit ribosomal RNA", at positions 85 to 531 of the family's 1533-position model. Lineage: Bacteria; Bacillati; Bacillota; Bacilli; Lactobacillales; Lactobacillaceae. The record is from RNAcentral.
AUUUUGGUGAGUGGCGGACGGGUGAGUAACACGUGGGUAACCUGCCCAAAAGUGGGGGAUAACAUUUGGAAACAAGUGCUAAUACCGCAUAACAACUGCUUUCACAUGAUCGCAGCUUGAAAGAUGGCUCUGCUAUCGCUUUUGGAUGGACCCGCGGCGUAUUAGCUAGUUGGUGAGGUAAUAGCUCACCAAGGCAAUGAUACGUAGCCGACCUGAGAGGGUAAUCGGCCACAUUGGGACUGAGACACGGCCCAAACUCCUACGGGAGGCAGCAGUAGGGAAUCUUCCACAAUGGGCGAAAGCCUGAUGGAGCAAUGCCGCGUGAGUGAAGAAGGUUUUCGGAUCGUAAAACUCUGUUGUUGAAGAAGAACAUGCGUGAGAGUAACUGUUCACGUACUGACGGUAUUCAACCAGAAAGCCACGGCUAACUACGUGCCAGCAGCCGCGGUAAUACGUAGG